This 83-nucleotide ribosomal RNA is filed under the name uncultured Verrucomicrobiaceae bacterium. RNAcentral describes it as "partial 16S ribosomal RNA". It matches the Rfam family "Bacterial small subunit ribosomal RNA", at positions 458 to 540 of the family's 1533-position model. Lineage: Bacteria; Pseudomonadati; Verrucomicrobiota; Verrucomicrobiia; Verrucomicrobiales; Verrucomicrobiaceae. The record is from RNAcentral.
GCCCGACAGGGUUGAUAGUACCAGAAGAGGAAGGGACGGCUAACUUCGUGCCAGCAGCCGCGGUAAUACGAAGGUCCCAAGCG